UACGGAGGGAUCUAGCGUUGUUCGGAAUUACUGGGCGUAAAGCGCACGUAGGCGGCUAUUCAAGUCGGGGGUGAAAGCCCGGGGCUCAACCCCGGAACUGCCCUCGAAACUAGGUAGCUAGAAUCUUGGAGAGGUCAGUGGAAUUCCGAGUGUAGAGGUGAAAUUCGUAGAUAUUCGGAAGAACACCAGUGGCGAAGGCGACUGACUGGACAAGUAUUGACGCUGAGGUGCGAAAGCGUGGGGAGCAAACAGG
RNAcentral lists this ribosomal RNA (253 nucleotides) under uncultured bacterium. Its description in RNAcentral is "partial 16S ribosomal RNA". It matches the Rfam family "Bacterial small subunit ribosomal RNA", at positions 524 to 776 of the family's 1533-position model. The record is from RNAcentral.